This is a long non-coding RNA of Synchiropus splendidus (mandarinfish), 421 nucleotides long. RefSeq lists it as uncharacterized. The transcript has 3 exons. NCBI's taxonomy places the organism in Eukaryota, Metazoa, Chordata, Actinopteri, Syngnathiformes, Callionymidae. The record is from RefSeq and is a predicted model, not a curated record.
GAGGACUGCAGUGGAUGAGGCGUAGGGCACAGAAUGUCCUCUGUAUGAUCAACUGUUUAUCCUGCCACCCAUCAGCCAGUGACCUUGUGGAGGACUCUGUUUGCAUUCAAGCAGCACAACCACCAAAACCCUCAGUGGUGACCUUCAUCACCAUCAGCAACUCCACCCUCAACGACUGCAGCUUUACAAACCAAGACGGUCCACAGGCGGCACCAGACCUUCUGCAGAUGCAGCCUGAGCUGCUGAUCAACGGGGAAUGUCGGUGCAUCCACAUCACAGACUCAAUAUUACACAACGCCAUGUUUGGGGAUCACAACGUCAUGAUGUUGGGUUUGCACCAAGAGCAAAACUAAACUUAAGUCACAAGUGCAUUUCUUUUUCAUCACAAUUUAUUUAAGCCAGAGGAAAAUAUAUAUAUAUA